GACGAACGCUGGCGGCGUGCUUAACACAUGCAAGUCGAACGGGUCUGCCCUGUUUUUUGCGGGGUGGGUCAGUGGCGAACGGGUGAGUAACACGUGAGUAACCUGCCCCUCACUUCUGGAUAACCGCUUGAAAGGGUGGCUAAUACGGGGUGUUCUGGCUGUGCCGCAUGGUGUGGCUGGGAAAGAUUCACUUUUGUGGUGUUUUGGUGGGGGAUGGGCUCGCGGCCUAUCAGCUUGUUGGUGGGGUGAUGGCCUGCCAGGGCUUUGACGGGUAGCCGGCCUGGGAGGGUGGGCGGUCACGCUGGGACUGAGGUACGGCCCAGACUCCGGCGGGAGGCAGCAGUGGGGGGUAUUGCACAAUGGGCGGAAGACUGAUGCAGCGACGUCGCGUGAGGGAUGGAGGCCUUCGGGUUGUGAACCUCUUUCGCCGGUGAAGAAGGUCCUGCUCUUUGUGGUGGGGUUGACGGUAGCCGGGUUAUGAAGCGCCGGCUAACUACGUG
This 500-nucleotide ribosomal RNA is filed under the name uncultured bacterium. RNAcentral's name for it is "partial 16S ribosomal RNA". It matches the Rfam family "Bacterial small subunit ribosomal RNA", at positions 28 to 507 of the family's 1533-position model. The record is from RNAcentral.